Molecule: ribosomal RNA, 253 nt
Filed under: uncultured bacterium
Lineage: Bacteria
Description: partial 16S ribosomal RNA
Rfam family: Bacterial small subunit ribosomal RNA
Source: RNAcentral
UACAGAGGUCCCAAGCGUUGUUCGGAUUCAUUGGGCGUAAAGGGUGCGUAGGUGGCGCUGUAAGUGGGGUGUGAAAUCCCGGGGCUUAACCCCGGGACUGCAUUCCAUACUGCAGUGCUUGAGGACUGGAGAGGAGACUGGAAUUUACGGUGUAGCAGUGAAAUGCGUAGAGAUCGUAAGGAAGACCAGUGGCGAAGGCGGGUCUCUGGACAGCUCCUGACACUGAGGCACGAAGGCCAGGGGAGCAAACGGG